Molecule: ribosomal RNA, 253 nt
Filed under: uncultured bacterium
Lineage: Bacteria
Description: partial 16S ribosomal RNA
Rfam family: Bacterial small subunit ribosomal RNA
Source: RNAcentral
UACGAAGGGGGCUAGCGUUGCUCGGAACCACUGGGCGUAAAGCGCACGUAGGCGGCUUUUUAAGUCAGGGGUGAAAUCCUGGAGCUCAACUCCAGAACUGCCUUUGAUACUGGGAAGCUUGAGUCCGGGAGAGGUGAGUGGAACUCCGAGUGUAGAGGUGAAAUUCGUAGAUAUUCGGAAGAACACCAGUGGCGAAGGCGGCUCACUGGCCCGGUACUGACGCUGAGGUGCGAAAGCGUGGGGAGCAAACAGG